ACGAACGCUGGCGGCGUGCCUAAUACAUGCAAGUCGAGCGGAAUGAUGAAGAAGCUUGCUUCUUCUGAUUUUAGCGGCGGACGGGUGAGUAACACGUGGGCAACCUACCUUGUAGAUUGGGAUAACUCCGGGAAACCGGGGCUAAUACCGAAUAAUCCAUUUUGCUUCAUGGCGAGAUGUUGAAAGACGGUUUCGGCUGUCACUACAAGAUGGGCCCGCGGCGCAUUAGCUAGUUGGUAGGGUAAUGGCCUACCAAGGCGACGAUGCGUAGCCGACCUGAGAGGGUGAUCGGCCACACUGGGACUGAGACACGGCCCAGACUCCUACGGGAGGCAGCAGUAGGGAAUCUUCCACAAUGGACGAAAGUCUGAUGGAGCAACGCCGCGUGAGUGAAGAAGGUUUUCGGAUCGCAAAACUCUGUUGUAAGGGAAGAAACACGUACGAGAGUAACUGCUCGUACCUUGACGGUACCUUAUUAGAAAGCCACGGCUAACUACGUG
Molecule: ribosomal RNA, 500 nt
Filed under: uncultured bacterium
Lineage: Bacteria
Description: bacterial SSU rRNA
Rfam family: Bacterial small subunit ribosomal RNA
Source: RNAcentral